Molecule: ribosomal RNA, 626 nt
Filed under: Hypothenemus sp. H75
Lineage: Eukaryota; Metazoa; Arthropoda; Insecta; Coleoptera; Curculionidae
Description: LSU rRNA
Rfam family: Eukaryotic large subunit ribosomal RNA
Source: RNAcentral
CGAAGGAAGAAAUUCAUUCGCGUUUCGUAGUUGGCGGAGAGAGGAAUUGUGUGACGAAAAUCGCUUGCGGUUUUCGCACCGUCCUUUCUACGAACCGAUUACGAACGUGUGCACUUUUCUUCUGGUAGGACGUCGCGAUCCGUUGGGUGUCGGUUUAAGGUACAUGGUGGAGUCCGUUUUGCCUAUGUGUCGAAUGGACCCAUGUUAUCCCGACCGGCUCGCUCGACGGUAUACGAAAGGUUUAAGGCCGCUCAUUUGGAGCGUUCGACUCGUAGCAACCGCGUUAGUUUUUGUUGAAGAUCGGACCUAGUGCCGAUCUCGACAGCUGACGAUUUGGUUGUUUAUGAAGAUUCUCGAACAGACCUUGUUAACCGAUCGGCGACGAUAUAGAUUUGGGUACUUUCAGGACCCGUCUUGAAACACGGACCAAGGAGUCCAGCAUAUACGCAAGUCAUUGGGAAUGAUUAAACCUAAAGGCAUAAUGAAAGUAAAAAUUCUCCUUGCGGGAAUUAAGGGAAGACAAGCGGUUUAGCCGUUAAAAGCGGCCGCUUUGCAUUCCUGGGGCGUCUCAUUCUCAGCAUGUCCUUGUGAUGUGCGAGAAGAGGCGCACCAAGAGCGUAUACGCU